GAUGAACGCUGGCGGCGUGCCUAAUACAUGCAAGUCGAGCGAACGGACGAGAAGCUUGCUUCUCUGAUGUUAGCGGCGGACGGGUGAGUAACACGUGGAUAACCUACCUAUACGACUGGGAUAACUACGGGAAACAGGAGCUAAUACCGGAUAAUAUUUUGAACCUCAUGGUUCAAAAGUGAAAGACGGUCUUGCUGUCACUUAUAGAUGGAUCCGCGCUGCAUUAGCUAGUUGGUAAGGUAACGGCUUACCAAGGCAGCGAUGCAUAGACGACCUGAAAGGGUGGUCGGCCACACUGGAACUGAGACACGGUCCAGACUCCUACGGGAGGCAGCAGUAGGGAAUCUUCCGCAAUGGGCGAAAGCCUGACGGAGCAACGCCGCGUGAGUGAUGAAGGUCUUCGGAUCGUAAAACUCUGUUAUUAGGAAAGAACAUAUGUGUAAGUAACUGUGCACAUCUUGACGGUACCUAAUCAGAAAGCCACGGCUAACUACGUG
This 497-nucleotide ribosomal RNA is filed under the name uncultured bacterium. RNAcentral's name for it is "partial 16S ribosomal RNA". It matches the Rfam family "Bacterial small subunit ribosomal RNA", at positions 28 to 507 of the family's 1533-position model. The record is from RNAcentral.